GGGGCCAUAGCUCAGUUUGGUAGAGCGCUUGCAUGGCAUGCAAGAGGUCAGGGGUUCGAUCCUCCUUGGCUCCA
RNAcentral lists this transfer RNA (74 nucleotides) under Candidatus Omnitrophota bacterium. RNAcentral's name for it is "Candidatus Omnitrophica bacterium (sediment metagenome) tRNA-Ala". It matches the Rfam family "tRNA". Rfam says of the family: Transfer RNA (tRNA) molecules are approximately 80 nucleotides in length. Their secondary structure includes four short double-helical elements and three loops (D, anti-codon, and T loops). Further hydrogen bonds mediate the characteristic L-shaped molecular structure. tRNAs have two regions of fundamental functional importance: the anti-codon, which is responsible for specific mRNA codon recognition, and the 3' end, to which the tRNAs corresponding amino acid is attached (by aminoacyl-tRNA synthetases). tRNAs cope with the degeneracy of the genetic code in two manners: having more than one tRNA (with a specific anti-codon) for a particular amino acid; and 'wobble' base-pairing, i.e. permitting non-standard base-pairing at the 3rd anti-codon position. The record is from RNAcentral. Lineage: Bacteria; Pseudomonadati; Candidatus Omnitrophota.